RNAcentral lists this ribosomal RNA (260 nucleotides) under uncultured bacterium. RNAcentral's name for it is "partial 16S ribosomal RNA". It matches the Rfam family "Bacterial small subunit ribosomal RNA", at positions 524 to 776 of the family's 1533-position model. The record is from RNAcentral.
UACGGGGGGAGCAAGCGUUGUUCGGAAGUUUACUGGGCGUAAAGGGCGCGUAGGCGGCCACCGCAAGUCGACUGUGAAAUCUCCGGGCUUAACCCGGAAAGGUCAGCCGAUACUGCGGGGCUAGGAGUGCAGAAGGGGCAACUGGAAUUCUCGGUGUAGCGGUGAAAUGCGUAGAGUAAUCGAGAGGAACACCUGCGGCGAAGGCGGGUUGCUGGACCACAACUGACGCUGGAUGCACGAAAGCUAGGGGAGCAAACAGG